GCGCCUGUAGCUCAGCUGGAUAGAGCGACGGACUACGAAUCCGCAGGUCGGGGGUUCGAAUCCUCCCAGGCGCACCA
RNAcentral lists this transfer RNA (77 nucleotides) under Nitrospirota bacterium. RNAcentral's name for it is "Nitrospirae bacterium tRNA-Arg". It matches the Rfam family "tRNA". Rfam says of the family: Transfer RNA (tRNA) molecules are approximately 80 nucleotides in length. Their secondary structure includes four short double-helical elements and three loops (D, anti-codon, and T loops). Lineage: Bacteria; Pseudomonadati; Nitrospirota. RNAcentral also lists the same sequence under 1 other name. The record is from RNAcentral.